Molecule: ribosomal RNA, 468 nt
Filed under: uncultured bacterium
Lineage: Bacteria
Description: partial 16S ribosomal RNA
Rfam family: Bacterial small subunit ribosomal RNA
Source: RNAcentral
GACGAACGCUGGCGGCGUGCUUAACACAUGCAAGUCGAACGGAAAGGCCCUGCUUUUGUGGGGUGCUCGAGUGGCGAACGGGUGAGUAACACGUGAGUAACCUGCCCUUGACUUUGGGAUAACUUCAGGAAACUGGGGCUAAUACCGGAUAGGAGCUCCUGCUGCAUGGUGGGGGUUGGAAAGUUUCGGCGGUUGGGGAUGGACUGGCGGCUUAUCAGCUUGUUGGUGGGGUAGUGGCUUACCAAGGCUUUGACGGGUAGCCGGCCUGAGAGGGUGAACGGGCACAUUGGGACUGAGAUACGGCCCAGACUCCUACGGGAGGCAGCAGGGGGGAAUAUGGCACAAUGGGCGGAAGCCUGAUGAAGCAACGCCGCGUGCGGGAUGACGGCCUUCGGGUUGUAAACCGCUUUCGCCUGUGACGAAGCGUGAGUGACGGUAAUGGGUAAAGAAGCACCGGCUAACUACGUG